GCGGGCGUAGCUCAAUGGUAGAGCCUCAGUCUUCCAAACUGAUGGUGCGGGUUCGAUUCCCGUCGCCCGCUCCA
Molecule: transfer RNA, 74 nt
Filed under: Demequina lutea
Lineage: Bacteria; Bacillati; Actinomycetota; Actinomycetes; Micrococcales; Demequinaceae
Also listed under: 6 other names
Rfam family: tRNA
About the family: Transfer RNA (tRNA) molecules are approximately 80 nucleotides in length.
Source: RNAcentral